Molecule: ribosomal RNA, 507 nt
Filed under: uncultured bacterium
Lineage: Bacteria
Description: partial 16S ribosomal RNA
Source: RNAcentral
GUAGUUAGCCGGGGCUUAUUCAAAAGGUACCGUCAAAUACACAUCAUUUCCUAUAUGUAUAGUUCUUCCCUUAUAAAAGUGAUUUACAAUCCAAAGGACCUUCAUCUCACACGCGGCAUUGCUCGGUCAGGGUUUCCCCCAUUGCCGAAUAUUCCUAACUGCUGUCUCCCGUAGGAGUCUGGGCCGUGUCUCAGUCCCAGUGUGGCUGAUCAUCCUCUCAGACCAGCUACGGAUCGUCGCCUUGGUGAGCCGUUACCUCACCAACCAGCUAAUCCGACAUAGGCUCAUCCGAUAGCGCGAGGCCCGAAGGUCCCCCGCUUUCCCCCGUAGGGCGUAUGCGGUAUUAGCCUGGGUUUCCCCCUAGGUUAUCCCCCACUACCGGGCAGAUUCCUAUGCAUUACUCACCCGUCCGCCGCUCGCCACCAGGGAGCAAGCUCCCCGUGCUGCCGCUCGACUUGCAUGUGUUAGCUCGCCGCCACGCGUCAUCUGAGCAGAUACAACUACUGA